RNAcentral lists this transfer RNA (73 nucleotides) under Cotesia glomerata. RNAcentral's name for it is "tRNA-Thr". It matches the Rfam family "tRNA". Rfam says of the family: Transfer RNA (tRNA) molecules are approximately 80 nucleotides in length. Their secondary structure includes four short double-helical elements and three loops (D, anti-codon, and T loops). Further hydrogen bonds mediate the characteristic L-shaped molecular structure. tRNAs have two regions of fundamental functional importance: the anti-codon, which is responsible for specific mRNA codon recognition, and the 3' end, to which the tRNAs corresponding amino acid is attached (by aminoacyl-tRNA synthetases). tRNAs cope with the degeneracy of the genetic code in two manners: having more than one tRNA (with a specific anti-codon) for a particular amino acid; and 'wobble' base-pairing, i.e. permitting non-standard base-pairing at the 3rd anti-codon position. Lineage: Eukaryota; Metazoa; Arthropoda; Insecta; Hymenoptera; Braconidae. The record is from RNAcentral.
GUCUCGGAUAGCUUAACUGGCAGAGCCCUUGGCGCGUAACCGAGAGAUCUGGGUUCGAUUCCCAGUCUGGGCU